CCUACGGGAGGCUGCAGUAGGGAAUCUUCCGCAAUGGGCGAAAGCCUGACGGAGCAACGCCGCGUGAGUGAUGAAGGUCUUCGGAUCGUAAAACUCUGUUAUUAGGGAAGAACAUACGUGUAAGUAACUAUGCACGUCUUGACGGUACCUAAUCAGAAAGCCACGGCUAACUACGUGCCAGCAGCCGCGGUAAUACGUAGGUGGCAAGCGUUAUCCGGAAUUAUUGGGCGUAAAGCGCGCGUAGGCGGUUUUUUAAGUCUGGUGUGAAAGCCCACGGCUCAACCGUGGAGGGUCAUUUGAAACUGGCAAACUUGAGUGCAGAAGAGGAUAGUGGAAUUCCAGGUGUAGCGGUGAAAUGCGCAGAGAUAUGGAGGAACACCAGUGGCGAAGGCGACUUUCUGGUCUGUAACUGACGCUGAGGUGCGAAAGCGUGGGGAUCAAACAGGAUUAGAUACCCGUGUAGUC
This 465-nucleotide ribosomal RNA is filed under the name uncultured bacterium. Its description in RNAcentral is "partial 16S ribosomal RNA". It matches the Rfam family "Bacterial small subunit ribosomal RNA", at positions 338 to 795 of the family's 1533-position model. The record is from RNAcentral.